UUAUAUUUCUGGUAAUUUCUGACAAGACCCGACUGGCAACACUGCAAAUAAUCACUAGUGGUCAUACGCCAACGUCACUCGCCCGAAGCCAUAAAAAAGAAAACAAAAACUUCCGGUUCCGGAAGAAAAAACAGCCAAGUGUUUUGCACUUUUGCAGCAUUAGCAGCAUACUCUCUUCUAAUCUGUGUUUUGCAGUGCACAAAAUCAGUGGUAGAACGUAGAACCUACAAGUUUUUUUGUUUUGCACGGUGUUUUAUUUAAUAAACGCUUCUGUUGUGCGAAUUGGACGCGUGACGUGCUGAAGAUUAAAGACUUUGCAUAAUGGAAUCAAAAAAAAUUUUUUUGGUUACAUUUUUAGAUGAAGAUGAUGCUCCUGGCAUAGUUUCAUCAAAGUGGUUAAGAUACCAACACUUGUUAUUACCCUAAUGUAUGCACUGAAGAAAUCAAAAACAAACUUGAAGAAGAUGCCUGCACCUGAAGCAACAUGGUCACAAUAUCAAAUAAAAAUACUUAAAAGUUAUGAAACUUAUGGCGAAGCACGAUUACAUUUUAAAAAAGCGGAAGAAACCUGAAAUUUGGACUCAGACGAAGCAGAAAAUGAUGUUACAAAUGAAGUGACAGUGGACAUAAUGUCUGCUGUAAAUUACCCAGUCACCUCCGGUUCUAAAGAGGCCAAGCAAACACAACUCAAAGCUGUUAACUGCCAAUCAGAGUGCAUUACAAACAAGCAAUAUGCUAUACAGCAGAGUCAUAUGAUUCAGAUUGUGUCAGACCUAGCUAACCAAAUGGCUGAAAUCAAUAGAAAAUUGGAUUUACCGUUAGCUAGGUCCGAAGAAACAUUUUCACCAACAGAUGACAAUGCAGGUCUUUCAGAACUUUUGGCAAGUCUACCAGUAAAGAUAUUGCAAGUUUUAAUAAUUCUGAUGACCAUUUAAAAAUAAACAAGAAUACAGGCAAUAAUGUCAUUUUUGUCUGGUAUUGGCGGCAGAAAUGUAAGAAGCCUUACGACUAAUAUGUUGAGACGAAUAAUUCUAGAUGAUGUAGCCGAGUUGUAUUCGUUAACUGGGAAACAGAUGAAAAAUUCGAAUAAAAAGUCAUUUAUGAGUACAGAAACCUAUAAAUUAAUCUUUCAAAUAUGUAGAAAAAUCAACGAAGAUGUAACUGAAGACAGUCUAAAAGAAAUUAUAAGUGAUUGGCUAAAUCAAGCUAUAGUUAGACUUUCAAGAAGAGCAGAAACACAAAAUAAAGAAAAAAACCAAUAGCGGCGACCAUGAAACCGAUUUUUUCUCAUUUAAAGUAAGAUAAGAUAAAAGUAUAAAUAAUAAAAAAAUAUAUGUUA
Ostrinia nubilalis (European corn borer) is the source of this 1339-nucleotide RNA transcript. RefSeq lists it as uncharacterized. The record is from RefSeq and is a predicted model, not a curated record. Lineage: Eukaryota; Metazoa; Arthropoda; Insecta; Lepidoptera; Crambidae. The transcript is spliced from 7 exons.